RNAcentral lists this ribosomal RNA (492 nucleotides) under uncultured bacterium. Its description in RNAcentral is "partial 16S ribosomal RNA". It matches the Rfam family "Bacterial small subunit ribosomal RNA", at positions 29 to 507 of the family's 1533-position model. The record is from RNAcentral.
AGUGAACGCUGGCGGUAGGCCUAACACAUGCAAGUCGAACGGCAGCACAGUAAGAGCUUGCUCUUACGGGUGGCGAGUGGCGGACGGGUGAGGAAUACAUCGGAAUCUACUUUUUCGUGGGGGAUAACGUAGGGAAACUUACGCUAAUACCGCAUACGACCUACGGUUGAAAGCAGGGGAUCUUCGGACCUUGCGCGAUUGAAUGAGCCGAUUUCGGAUUAGCUAGUUGGCGGGGUAAAGGCCCACCAAGGCGACGAUCCGUAGCUGGUCUGAGAGGAUGAUCAGCCACACUGGAACUGAGACACGGUCCAGACUCCUACGGGAGGCAGCAGUGGGGAAUAUUGGACAAUGGGCGCAAGCCUGAUCCGGCCAUACCGCGUGGGUGAAGAAGGACUUCGGGUUGUAAAGCCCUUUUGUUGGGAAAGAAAAGAAGCAGGUUAAUACCCCGAUGUUCUGACGGUACCCAAAGAAUAAGCACCGGCUAACUUCGUG